Molecule: long non-coding RNA, 1268 nt
Organism: Oncorhynchus keta (chum salmon)
Lineage: Eukaryota; Metazoa; Chordata; Actinopteri; Salmoniformes; Salmonidae
Exons: 2
Source: RefSeq, a predicted model, not a curated record
UAGAACAUUCUAGGAAGGAACCCUUUAGGUUGCCUCAUUGGUAGAAGUGUUCUAGUACAUUCUAGGAGGAAUCCUUAAUGUUACCUCAUUGGUAGAAGUGUUCUAGAACAUUCUAGGAGGAAUCCUUAAUGUUAGCUCAUUGGUAGAAGUGUUCUAGAACAUUCUAGGAGGAAUCCUUAAUGUUGCCUCAUUGGUAGAAGUGUUCUAGUACAUUCUAGGAGGAAUCCUUUAGGUUACCUCAUUGGUAGAAGUGUUCUAGUACAUUCUAGGAGGAAUCCUUAAUGUUACCUCAUUGGUAGAAGUGUUCUAGAACAUUCCAGGAGGAACCCUUUAGGUUACCUCAUUGGUAGAAGUGUUCUAGAACAUUCUAGGAGGAAUCCUUUAGGUUACCUCAUUGGUAGAAGUGUUCUAGAACAUUCUAGGAGGAAUCCUUUAGGUUACCUCAUUGGUAGAAGUGUUCUAGUACAUUCUAGGAGGAAUCCUUAAGGUUACCUCAUUGGUUGAAGUGUUCUAGAACAUUCUAAGAGGAACCCUUUAGGUUACCUCAUUGGUGGAAGUGUUCUAGAACAUUCUAGGAGGAACCCUUUAGGUUACCUCAUUGGUAGAAGUGUUCUAGAACAUUCUAGGAGGAACCCUUUAGGUUACCUCAUUGGUAGAAGUGUUCUAGAACAUUCUAGGAGGAACCCUUUAGGUUACCUCAUUGAUAGAAGUGUUCUAGAACAUUCUAGGAGGAACCCUUUAGGUUACCUCAUUGGUGGAAGUGUUCUAGAACAUUCUAGGAGGAACCCUUUAGGUUACCUCAUUGGUAGAAGUGUUCUAGAACAUUCUAGGAGGAACCCUUUAGGUUACCUCAUUGGUAGAAGUGUUCUAGAACAUUCUAGGAGGAACCCUUAAUGUUACCUCAUUGAUAGAAGUGUUCUAGAACAUUCUAGGAGGAACCCUUUAGGUUGCCUCAUUUGUUGAAGUGUUCUAGUUGCUGUUAGUUUUUUAGACACCAACUGAGGGACUGAGCAUCCCGAGGGGGGAGACAAAUAUCUGUUUAUAAAUUGUAGAAGGUAAGAACAUGUUUUUCUUGUUAUUAAAAACUGUGCUUCUCAUAAAAUUGUUAUAGUUUUUAGGUAAAGGGUUUAGGUAAAGACGCUGAAGGCAUCUCUCAAUUUAAUCCAAGGUACAUUUUUGCGUAUCAUCAAUUGGUGAUAUUGAUUGAUCAGUUUUUUCUUAUGCCUUUUUUCUGUAAUUUUGAAUAAACUUGCUUCAUUGUUCUGAAA